RNAcentral lists this long non-coding RNA (536 nucleotides) under Coccomyxa subellipsoidea. Its description in RNAcentral is "long non-coding RNA (CSUB_LNC000644)". Lineage: Eukaryota; Viridiplantae; Chlorophyta; Trebouxiophyceae; Coccomyxaceae. The record is from RNAcentral.
AAUAUCUCAGGACGUUGUUCAGCAACGGAAGAAGUACAUCGGGUGUGCUAAUUAAGCUUUACGGAUUGUUCUCGAUCCUUUCUAGCUACAAAGGGCUGCUUUUAGUUAAGUGCCGUUGUAUUGGAGUGGAAAAAUGGCUGCACUGCUCCCAGCUGUACACCCGCCUCUCAAUACAAAUGUACAAUGCGUCAGAAGAGCGACGCAAAAUAGGCGUCAGAUUUGCUGUUCAGCUGAUUCAUCCGUGAGGUGAGUUGCAGGAAUGUUGGAUUCCAGAUCAAUUUUCGAGGAAUAUAUAAAUAUGAUUAAAGAUGGAUGUAUCAGCACAAUGUGCAUCAUAUACCGAUAAUAAACGUGUACUGCACUCAUCGCGCAGUGUGAAGAGUAAUCAGCAGGUCAGGAGAGGUCUUCUGUUGGGACUGGCCAGCUGCGUGCUUGUGCCCACUCAGAAGGCUGUAGCAGGCGAGACGCUUUGCAAUGCCUAAUUCCUUUCAUGCGUUCUUUAACCCAAUCAAAGGGGGCUCCAUCGUUGUCACAGA